Molecule: long non-coding RNA, 1856 nt
Organism: Sorghum bicolor (sorghum)
Lineage: Eukaryota; Viridiplantae; Streptophyta; Magnoliopsida; Poales; Poaceae
Exons: 8
Source: RefSeq, a predicted model, not a curated record
UCCGCGCGCCCAGACAGGAAAGGGGGCGGUUCUGGAGGCCGUCGCUCUGUCUAUUCUCCCCUUUCCCUUCUUCGCUCUUCCCCGUGGAGCCUCGUCGACGAUUCGCGACGCCGCCUCUCCGUGCUCCUCCCCGUCGAGGCGUGUCGGUGUCGCGGCGAUUCAAGAGGUGUGGAGAUACUUGUCGGUGAGGCGCGAGAGCGGCACCGCAAGGCGCGGCCAACCGGCGAGGGCGGGUGGAGUGGAAGUACGCCGGCGCGAGGGACGGCGCCCAGUUACGCCGCGAGAUCGCCACGCUCAAGCUGCUCGGCCACCCCAACGUCGUCCGCCUCCACGAGCAAGCAGCCCUUGUGCUGAAUGCAUCAAGGCGCUUUAGGUACACUCUCGAUUUGAAAAAGGAGGAACAAAAGGAGGAAAUCAGGAGAAAAAUCCGUGCACAGGCACAUGUUAUAAGGGCUUCUCACGCCACCAGGAACUCCCCUAUUCCCAUCUCUAGAAGUUGAGUCAAAAAGGUCCCCAGUGAGCCAAGCUGGAACGCUAAAGACUCGUCCAACUGCCUUAAAAUCUAGGGAAAGACAUAUGUUCAAAAAGCUUGCACUAGGAAAACUCUUUUUGAGAGGUUGUGGAGGUCCCUCUUCUUCUUUACAUUACCAUCAGGAUGAUGGUUGGGAUCAGAUGAUGGAAGCUGCUGCACUAAAAUCCAUGGUGGUGUAUGCAAAGUACCAUCUCAUCAGGUUCAAGGAGCAGAGAGGAAGGAUUUGAGAGCACCACGAAUGAUUACAUUUGGUGUUGCUUAUAAAUGUAUUUGAAGAGCCUGCAGCAGAUCCGGUAAGCAUUUCUGCAUCAUAAUUGGUGAUCCUUGAUGUUCCAUUUGCAACAUGAUUUGUAGCUUCUGAACAGUCAGGUGUUAUAUUCAUUGUGAAGUUUCUACAGGAUCAUGUUGUUGAUGUAUUCAAAGCAGAUGUAAAAGGGCAUGCAUAUAUGCAGGUAUGUAAAAGUGUUUUUCUAAACAGUCAGGUGUUUUUUGCAAACUUGGUUUCUUUUUCUUUCUGUAUCAUUCUAUCUACCUUUAUUCCACAUGAGAACCUCUAAGUGCUGGAUCUUUUUUUUGAACAAAAGUGAUGGAUCUGUUACUACUCCACAGUGAGCAACCAGGCCACACCCUGCUAUUUGAUUAAGUACAAGUAGCGGGACAUCUUUUUCAUCCUAAUUGUCUUUUCCUUGGAUCUAAAUUCUCCUAUUUUUUUGUCCUAAAUUGCUGUUGUUUUUUGUUGCUUUUUGAGAAAGUAGAUUGAAAAGAUUAGGAUACUAACCUUUGGUGAUGAGGUAUAGUUCAGGCUUGUAGCGCUUCUUCUUGAAAAUUUCCUCUUUUUUGCAAUCUGAUUUUUUCCCCUUUCCCCUGCUCUUCGUGAGGAGAGCAGAGGCUUUCCCCACGCACAUCAGAUCUGUUUUCCUCUCCGUUGCUUCUCUCCCAAGUCUGUGUCCUAUAUAUGCUAUAGAUUGCUGGGAUUGGGCUUUUUAUUAUGGGCUGAACACUCAGAUCUAUUAAAUGGGUUUUUUUCUUUUAUUAUGGGCUGUACAGAAAUUACAAUGGGUUUUCUCUACAUGGGCCUCUAUGGGUUGAUGCUGUUAAAUGGGUCUUUUUCCUUUUAUUGUGGGCUGUACAGAAAUUACAAUGGGUUUUCUCUACAUGGGCCUCUAUGGGUUGAUGCUGUUAAAUGGGUCUUUUUUCUUUUAUUAUGGGCUGUACAGAAAUUAUAAUGGAUUUUCUCUGCAUGGGCCUCGUGGGCCUCUUUUAGAAUGUAGGCAACCAACAAUCAUGUGCUAACUUGUUAUAAAACACACAGAUUCUUGUUCUA